RNAcentral lists this ribosomal RNA (363 nucleotides) under Triticum aestivum (bread wheat). RNAcentral describes it as "partial small subunit ribosomal RNA". The record is from RNAcentral. Lineage: Eukaryota; Viridiplantae; Streptophyta; Magnoliopsida; Poales; Poaceae.
AUGAGUCUCCUCUGCUGGAGCUUUCGUGGGGCUGGCAAACCCGCGACAGUUCGUGAGCUUCAUGAUCUCACGAGGCAAUUUGCCCCCUCUAUCUUAUGUAUUGUCGAAACUCAAAUAGAGGGCUCUCGAGUAGAGAAUCUAGCAUGCACUUUAGGUUUCACUAAUAGUUUUGCAGUUAGUAGUUCUGGGAGAAGUGGUGGACUUGGUAUUUUUUGGAACAAUGAAAUAAAGCUUGUGGCUGAUGGUUACUCUAAAUAUCAUAUUAAUGUAGUGGUUGAUGAUUUGGCACAUAUCAAAACUGAAGGGGAACGUAGUAAUUUCAAAAAAAUUCCCACGCACACGCAAGAUCAUGUUGAUGCAUAG